AGGCGCCUCAGGAGCCGCACGUCGAACCGCGGGAUGAUCGGGAUUGGAAGAGACUUUGAAAAUCGUCGAGUUCCAGCCUCCUGCCCUGGGCAGGGACACCUCCCACCAGCCCAGGUUGCUCCAAACCCCCUCCAACCUGCUCUUGAACCCCUCCAGGGAUGAGGCAGCCACAGCUUCUGUGGACAACUUAGGCCAGGGUCUCACCGCCCCCACGAGAGGAUGGGAUCAGCCUUUGCAGCUCUGUGCUGUCAACCUGUAUCACCGUACCCAUCCGGCCUGCGGCACAGAGGUGUUUCCUUGUGAGGGAUUGCAGCAAAUCCUCCCUGAGCGCAACGGGCAUGAGGCUCAACCACCCAAAGGAACUCCUGGUACCAACAUCCCACACCUCCAAAAGUCCUGCAGCUCCGUCCGUGGUGAGAAGGAACUCCAAACUCUGACCCAUGCCAUACAGAACAUCUAUU
This is a long non-coding RNA of Calidris pugnax (ruff), 461 nucleotides long. RefSeq lists it as uncharacterized. The record is from RefSeq and is a predicted model, not a curated record. Lineage: Eukaryota; Metazoa; Chordata; Aves; Charadriiformes; Scolopacidae. The transcript has 3 exons.